UUUAUUUUCCACCAAGAGGUCAUGAAUAGGGAGGAACUAAACUACAUUUUACUUUCACUUUCACAGCCUCAUGAAAUACAAUAUCAGACGUAGGCUAGGCUAUAAACCACAUAAUGGUUUAGCAUAUCUCAUUUGAACUUUUAUUUAUUAUCUAAACAAACUAAUUAGCAAAUAUGCCCAAACUAACGCUCAUCGGAUUGUGCUUCUGGCUUUAUGUGGCGCAAAAGUUGGUUUCCGGAGAUCUUUAUCUUAAAGUGGGAGGUGAGCUCGUGUUGAAACCAGACAAGUCCACAGUGACUGACCCCAUCACAAGCAUCCUAUGGAAGCAUGGGAAGAACAAGGUGGCAGAGUGGGACAAGGAUUUUGGUGGUCUGGACAUCUAUGCUGCCUUCAAAGAGCGUACAACCCUGGACCAGACUUCUGGAGAGCUGAGAAUCAGGGGAUUGAAGAAAACAGACAGUGGCGUUUAUUCUGUGGAGUUCAACAGCAAACUGCUUCACAAGACAUAUACAUUAUCUGUUAUCAAGGCAGUCCCCAAACCCACAAUCACUUCUUCCUGUAACCCAGACAAAACCUCCUGCACUCUGACCUGUGAGGGUGACACCACUGAUGCUGAACCAGUCACCUACAGCUGGGAAGAGGGAGAGAGGGUGUCCAAGGUCUUAGACAAAGAGCUAAGUGUCUCUAAAUCAACCAAUGGUAUCAAGUACACCUGCAAGCUGAGUAAUGCUGUUAGUUCGAAUGUCAGUGAGCCAGUUGGAGAGGUGUUUGGUCCAGAGCGUUCCAGUAUCGGUGCUGUUGUUACUUUGGUUGUCGUUGCCAUUGUAGCGUUUGCUGUCAUAAUAGGAUUUUUGGUGUGGAAGAAAAAGACAGCUAAAGGCAGUGACGGAGUCCAGCCAGAACAGAGCAAGGAUUUCACUAACGGGGGAAGACAACGCAGUCCAAACUGGAAAGGGGCAGGGGAAUGGAGCUAAAGGCAGUGAUGUAGUCCAGCCAGAACAAGCUGAAGCCAGCGGAUCCAACAGUCCUACAGUUCAGUCCAAGCUUGAGGCUGGUGGUCUUCCUGGUGGGGUAACUGAGGACCAGAAACAUGGGGUUUGAAGGCUCUCAGUACAUGACUCCUUAUGUUACAUUGAGACAAAUGACCAAGAAGAGAGAAACAUGUUUGAACUGUUGGAGAUGUUUUUAAUGAAAUAUAAAAUGAAGGAAAACAACAGGCGAACGUUGCACAAAGUAACAUGCAUUCAAUCAGAUGAAGUACAGUGAGCUACGAAGUAUUGCGUCAGUGACAUAUUUUGUUGUUUUGGCUCUAUACUCCAGCACUUUGGGUUUGACAUGAGAUCAUGACUAUAAGGUUAAAGUGCAGACUAUCAGCUUUAACCCGAUAUGGAUGAGAAUAACCUCAAAUUAAAGCUGACAGUUUGCACUUUAACCUCAGUUGUUGUAUGACUUCAAAUCCAAAGUGCUGGAGUACAGAGCCAAAACAACCAAAGAAAGUGUCACUGUCCCAAUACUUUUGGAGCUCACUGUAUAAUGUGAUGAACAGUGUGCUUUAUGAACUUACAGUACUUCAGAAAUAUGAGGGCAAUAUUUGUAUCUCAGAACAAUUUGAUGAUGGACAAAAAUGAGAUUCUUAUACUUUGUGAGGUAAAUAGCUUUGUGGAUUCUUAUCCUUUCUCAGUAUUCAUGCCUCGUCUUUACAAAUCUCAAUCAAUUUGUGCAGGUUGAUUGAAGCCAUAGUGUCAAUCACUUUGUGGUUGGAUGAUUCCUUUUCAGGUAUUUUCUCCAGAGCGCUUUAUGCCAACCCAAUGCACUUUCUGUUUUAAAUCGCAGCUUGUGAAUGUCUUAUCAUUUCAUAAUUGACUAAUUCUUAAAGCCUUCACUUGACUUAUGUCAAGUAAUUUGUACAGGUUGUUAUUGUUUUAAUUAUAAGAAGGAGAGCUCUGUAGUACUGAGAUGUAUUACUAAAACAUUUUAAUGCCUUAAUAUUUGAAUGUUGUCUUCGUCAAAUUACCAUCUGGUAUCUGUUUUCACAAUAGAAUUUUGUGACUAGGAUUUUAAGAUGUAUAUUAUUUUCUCUAUCUGUACAUCAAUCUGUGACGGACCAAAGUAAGGGGAAACAGCAGUGUACACUAGUUGCCACCAGAUAGGUAAGAACAUUUGUUGGGCAAGACCACUAACCUGGUAUAUCCCAGGUUUUAGUUUUGUUACUGGUAUGUCUCCGGUAAUUCCGUUACAGAAGAAGUUAUGAAUUAAGACCAGCCGCAUUGCUUUAUUUUAAGACUGGACUGUUCAAUAAUGGAGUCCUGGCACAUGCAAAAACAUGUACCUGUACAAUCAUUGUAUGUAUCUCUGUUUAAACUCCAGGUUUCACGCUGUAGUGAUGUGUUGAUGACUGAAUGAUUGUGUUGUACACAACAUCUGAACACCAAUUGUGUUUCAGCACUUUGGCUUAAGAUAGGGAAAAAAUACAAACUUGAUUGGUGAAAGCAAUACAGAGGAAGGUCCAUAUAGGGCUGGGUUCAGACAUCACUAACAUACAUAUCCCUAUCUGAACCCUUCAGAUCUGUGACUAGUGAGCCGGGGAAAGGGACUAGUUAACUAGACUUAGAGAUCAGUCUCGUUGCAUGACUUCUCAGCUCGGUUCGCUUAAUGGCUCACACAACAGGACAGACAAUUCCUAAAUCAAGUGUCCACUCCUUCCUUCUGAGACAUGCUGCUGUGCAAAACAAAUGCACUUGAAAGCGCAGUGUGUUUAUUUUAUCUGCAACAAUUGUAUUCCAGCCUGCAUGUCCUGCCAAUCCUUUGUGAAUUUGAGGUGUUUGAUAUUUAUAUUUUUUCAAUAAAGGAGUUGAUGAGUUUUA
RNA transcript from Oncorhynchus mykiss (rainbow trout), 2864 nucleotides. It is a transcript of the gene named CD48 antigen, with no coding region annotated. Lineage: Eukaryota; Metazoa; Chordata; Actinopteri; Salmoniformes; Salmonidae. The record is from RefSeq and is a predicted model, not a curated record.